Struthio camelus australis is the source of this 1550-nucleotide non-coding RNA. Lineage: Eukaryota; Metazoa; Chordata; Aves; Struthioniformes; Struthionidae. The record is from RefSeq and is a predicted model, not a curated record.
AUGUCCUAAAAAUGAGCCACACUUUAGCUGCUACUGAAAAUCAGAACUGCAGCCCAGUUGUCAGCCGUGCUGCUUAACUUGUUUGUUUUGUAACAAUGAGCAUAACACGUGCAGCUUGAUGCUCAAGAGGAUUUCGGAGUAUCUACCUCAGGGCUGGCUGAGAAGCAAUCUGCAGCCCUUGGGUGGAUCUCUUAAUUACUCAUGUUGUACAAAGUUGUGUUACAGGCGUCCUGUUGUUCUGGGGCCUUUGAGCACCUUUCGUUACCUGUCAGCUUGGGUUUAACAGGUGGCUUCUCUCCUGCCUGGGCUGAGCUUGCGUGGCUGAGCGUGAUAUACUGCGAGACGCCUGCAAGUCUCCCAGGCCAGGUGUGAUGUAUGGUAGAAACACUUUUAUGUGGGCGCUGUGGGCUUUCUUCUCUCUGCAGACGUGGCUGGAAGUCGCAGGGAUGCAAAGUUACAAUAUUGGAUUGGGAUAACCUACGCUUGCUGAGGGAGCGAAAAUAUCUGCUGGUUUUGGGGCAGUAUUGUGAGAUAUAGGAGUUAAUUAUGUGAAACUGUGAAUGCUGAAUGUUCGAGAAUUAAUCCUGUGGCUCUGUAAGUGAGGGGGUCUUUGGCAAAGCUUGCAAGGGAAGGGCAGAAAUGUGUCAUUUCUGGUGCUUUAAAUUCUUUAUAUUGUGCUAGAAAGCACCCAGGAAUGAACUUGGACUGCUUGGUGAUUGAUCAGAGGUUUGUGCUGUGUGGUUUGUUUUUUUGAUCCCUUGCACUGUGGUCUGUGAGAGUGAAAUCCACUGCUACGCCUGGGGUCAGCAUCUACAUAGGAACAUGGGCUGACCCAAUGCGUUUUCUUUCUGCAAAAUACUAAAAAUACAGGCGUGAGCUAGAUAGGUCAGUGUUUGCAUCCAUGCCAAAAUCAGCUCGCCUGACUAACCUCUCCCAAAGGCGUCUAGUGCCUAAUGCCAGGGCUCAGGAGCUGUCAGCGCAGAAGCAAAGUUGGGAAUUGCUAGAACAAUAACAGAACCGAAAAUUUUGCUCCACAUGGAGCUGUGAUACCUACCUCCUGGAAAAACUGUGGUUCUCAUCAUGCCAUCUCCCAAAGCUUUUCAGCAGAACUGGAAGAUAAGAAAGUGGCAAUGAUUAACCAGACUAAUAAAACCUCUACCACAGAGGACAUAUGGAAGGAUGCAGCCCAGGAGAUCCUUAAACGGCAUACUACUAGAAGCUAGAGAACAUGCCCAGAAAAAAAUUACUUGUGCCAUGCUUUAUCCUUUUUCCUAAACACUUAUCAUUGUUCUCUGGCUGGAGAAGAGACGAAGCUGCACGGGUGUUUCAGCUGAGCUGCUCAGGUAUGUCCUGAUUGAAACUUUCCUGCUGGAAAUCAGCCUGCAGAGAAGGCCCUGGGGGUCCUGAAGGACAACAAGUUGACCGUGAGCCAGCAGUGUGCCCUUGUGGCCAAGAAGGCCAACGGUAUCCUGGGCUGCAUUGGGAAGAGGUUGAGAGAGGUGAUCGUCCCCCUCUCCUCAGCCCUGAUGAGGCCACACCUGGAGUGCUGC